UACAGAGGUCUCAAGCGUUGUUCGGAAUCACUGGGCGUAAAGGGUGCGUAGGUGGCGUGGUAAGUCAGAUGUGAAAGCCCGGGGCUCAACCUCGGAACUGCAUCCGAUACUACCAUGCUAGAGUACUGAAGAGGAAACUAGAAUUCUCGGUGUAGCAGUGAAAUGCGUAGAUAUCGAGAGGAAUACCAAAGGCGAAGGCAGGUUUCUUGGCAGUUACUGACACUGAGGCACGAAGGCCAGGGGAGCGAACGGG
This 253-nucleotide ribosomal RNA is filed under the name uncultured bacterium. Its description in RNAcentral is "partial 16S ribosomal RNA". It matches the Rfam family "Bacterial small subunit ribosomal RNA", at positions 524 to 776 of the family's 1533-position model. RNAcentral also lists the same sequence under 1 other name. The record is from RNAcentral.